CCCAUUGUCAUCCAGGUACUUAUUUGGGAUGUUGAAGCACAACCAAAUAGACAUGCUGUCCUAGGAUCAAGCGAGUCUCGCCCUGAUCUGAUAUUAACAGGACAUAAGGAAAAUGCGGAAUUUGCGCUUGCCAUGUGUCCAGCAGAACCAUAUGUCCUAUCAGGAGGAAAGGACAAAUCUGUUGUCUUGUGGAGCAUCCAAGACCAUAUAUUUGCCCUUGGGGAUUCCUCGUCUUCUCCUGGAGCAUCUGGCAGCAAGCAGUCUGUUAAAUAAUAACCUAUGUAUUGAUGUUUAGGAAUUGAUGAUAAUGCAUGAUAAGAAUAAGAACAUUCUGCCAAUAAUAAGUAGCUUCAUUGUUAAAAUGAAAAGCUCCACAUGAAUAGUUUAAUUUCAGGUUUGAGUUCACCAACUUUAUUUGUAUCUUCAUCUAUUCAUAAUGAGACUAACUUUGAUAUUGUUGUUUACUAAUUAAUAUUAACUAAUUAACCUGAUUGUGAGUUGUUGAGAUGUUGAAGACGAGAAGAUGGCAGCGUGGAAGGCGCUUGGCGCGAUGUUGCUGGUGCAGCUGUUCAACACGGGCAAGGUGCUGUUUUCCAAUGUGGCCGUCGACGGCGGCAUGUUCGUCUUGGCCCUCCUCACCUACCGCAGCUUCUUCGCGGCGCCAUCAUCCUCCCUGUCCGUCUGAUUUUCUAUCAGCCGCCGCCGCCGACGAUGGAGGAGCAGCACCUCUCGUCUGUCCACCGCUGACCGCUCGUUUGUCAGCCUAGCACCGGGGUGCAUGAACGCCCAGUAUAUGCUACAGCACCGCCGCCCCUGGCCCUGCCGCCUGCGCCGCUCGUUGCCCUGUGCACUCCGCGGGCCUUGGGAAUGGCCAACCAGGAUAUUUAUCGGUUUGCCCACCCUCUCCUCUCUUCUCUUCUCUCCCGCCCGCUCUCCCUCUCUCCCUUCUCUCCGGCUUCCGAUUGGGUAUUGUUUAUUGGCUUCUGGCUUUAAUUAAUUACUGUAUUUGCAUGUUCAGGUAUGUUGUUCAUCCAUCUCGUAUGAUGAAGUGUUUUAUGCUCUUUUCCAAUUAUUGUUGCAAGUAGCAAAAUUAGAACAUGUCCUUAUGUUUAGACUAUGAAAGAAAACACUCAUUUCAAUUUGUAGGUGUAUUUUUCUGUUUCAGUUGGCAUAUCAUCAUGAGGAUGUGAAUUCCACAGGAAGACCCAUGUGAUCUUAUUGCUCCCUUAGAUCUUCCACAUUUUUUACAGUCUUAUUCCUUGCCGAGGGGAGUCCUGCUCCAGUAGUGGUCUCAGAAGGGGCAAAUACCAUGGAUGUUGGCAGGCCUGUGCUUGUGCAGAAUGCACCAAGGACAAGACUGGAUGCAGGGACAUGGGGGACGAUGGGGAUUGGAUUGGGGUACUGUAUUGCAGCUGCAGUAGCUGAACCUGAAUGACUCGUGGUUGCUGUGGAGGGCGAUUCUGGAUUUGGCUUCAGUGCAAUGGAGGUUGAUGUGAACAAGGGCUUCAACAGUGAUGCUGUUUUAGCAAUGGAGACGAUCCAUUCCCUGUCAGCUUCAAAAUCAAGUUACCCAAUGGCUGAUCUCACCCAACUCUUCAUGACAGCUACCCAAGAAGGGAAAAGAUCAGAAUCGCAAGGCCAGAUUCUUAGGGUGGAAUGCUAUAGCUUAAUGCCCUAAUCUUUAUAUGCCUCUUCUUAUAUCUGCACUUCCAUGGGCACCGGGCGACACUAAAUUCACAAGAUACCCCCUCCACCUCAAGGUGUAAGACCAUAGCUUCCAUCGCUCUUUACGUUAUGUAAUAUAUUUGUAGUAUGCUAAUUUGAUUCACCAUAAUCCUUACCAUUCAUACUAUUAUGCUUGUUUUUUCUCUCUUCAGUAAUCGUCGAAAAUGGUUCAUUGUUCAUAGUUCAAGCCAACUUAAUUUUAACGCAAAAAUGUAGCAGUACUUAAAGUUUCAUCUGUAAUUUAUCAAUGGAUAAGUGAGUUAGAAAUAGUAUUUAUCAUUAAUAGAUUACUUGCCUACAUCGCUUUGAAGAUACUGGAUAUUCUUUCAGAUAUUGGUGAAACCCCAUGAUGUAUCUGUUACAAUAUGUGAUGUGUAUAUUUUUUCAGAUAUUAGAUCCCUUGAUUAUCAUGAAAGAUGAUGGCAUUAUUCAUUGUGAUCUAAAUCCAGGAAAAAAUUCUUAUAGCUCCAACAUGAGUUAAUUCUUCUCGAUGCCAAUGUUGGCAUCUUGUGCCCUGAUGACUAAGUGGUGACUUUUGCAGUGUAGAAACAGCAGCUAGAGUGAAAGUAAUUGAUUUUGGAUCAGCACUUCCAUGGAGGGUAAACCCAUUUAUUUAUAUUCAAGUUUUGUUUGAAUCCACCUAGCAGUCUAAAUUUAAUGCUAUAGUAGUAUUUUGUGGAUUUCAAGUCAAGCUUCUACCCUUUCUUUUUUUAGAUCCGUUAUUAUAGGUCUCCAGGAGUACUUGUUUAUCCGUAUCAUGUGUGUCAUCUCUACAAUCAGACACUAUCUAUAAUUACACAAGCAUCACAUGAUGCUUAAGUUGUUAUGCUUUUAUGCAUUUCAGCGGUAUUUACUAGACCAAUUUUUUUAUCUUUUUUGUUCCAUAAUGUGCAUUAUUUUUCAGUUAUUCCCAUGUUUAAAAUAAAAUAUUUGUCCCUGUUCUUUGUAUGUUCUGUAGGUUCUUGAUGGUAAGCCAUACAACAAUAAGUGUGGUGUUUACAGUUUUGGCAUUUGUUUAUGGGAAAUCUAUUUGUUUAUGGGAAAUCUAUUGUUAAAUUACAGUUAAUGGGCUGAAGCGCGAGGCGGCGUCCCGCGGCGGCGCCACGGGGCACGACAAACUGCGGCUGCUCAUCAUCUCCCGGCGUGGCUCACGACGGUUCCUGAACGAGCGGGAGAUGGAGCGCGCCGCGGGCGACGCCGGGUUCUAGGUGCGGGUGGCGGAGCUCGACCAGCCACGGACAUGGCGACGUUCGUGGCGCUGGUGAACUAUUCCCAUAGAGUAAAAGGUUCAUCCAUUAUUUUUUUGUUUUUCAGAUGUGUGGUAAUGGAGUCCGUUGCUUCGGUCGGUUUAUAGCCGAGAUUGAAAAUCUGUAAGGGACAGCUAGGUAAUGCAUUGCGGCAUCACAGUAAAACAUUGUAUUUCUACAGACACUUCCAGUAACUGAACUCUAUUUUUUAGUUGUUCCCAUAAUAGUCAGCCACCUGGUAUACUGUUAUUGUCUUUCAGAUUUCAGACAUCAACCCCUUGCAGCUAUCUGAAACUCAGUGUUUGGCCGGGGCGAGGGAGGUUGGGAAGGAAGUGGAGGAGAGCGUGCUCCCAACACCGCUAGAGAGUUUUCAGUUUUUUCUCUUAUAUCACGUUCCUAGGAGCUUCGUGUUGUUUGCAUGUGUUGAUGUAUAUAUAAGGAAAUAUAUCCUUUUUGUGUUCUGCCUCUAACAAUUCUGAACAUGUAAUUUUGGAUUCUUAAUUUAUGUAUUGGUGCUACUUGGUUAUGUUAUCAGUUGCUGUUGAGAGGAUAUAUUGAUGCUUGACAAUUCAAAUAUUUGUUGCUAACUUGAAGAUUGUUAUUUUACUUCUCAUUGCAGUCUAUUCUAGAAAGUGUGAGCCAUGGAACAAAGCUGGUUGAAAAAAGAACUACAUGCAUUUACCCUGUUUUUGGUUUCAUCUUAUUUUUUCUUUCACAUGCUUUAUUGUAGGUGGUAUGGAGUUCUGUGUAUCACAAGAGGCAUCUAGGUUGACCUCACUCUUCUUAGUGUUCAUGCCCACUACGCAAGACAACACCGCAACGCCGAUGGAGUUGGAAGAUUUCAUUAGUUUCGACUGGAUCUGGAUGAGAUGGACUCUGCUUGUAAGGAGAGAGAGAGUGCAUGGCUUGGGAGGAGCAUAUUUUUGUUCAUCCUUUUCAUGAGUCAUGUUACCUGCCAUGUCAGAUUAUGUAACUUCAGAUAUUUCUGUUUUUGUUAGAAAAGUACCAAAAUAGUUUCACUUCAUGGCUACUCUCAGAUGUGUUAUUGUUGCUGCCACUAAUCAUAUAAGGGUAACAUUGUAUUUGUUAGCCAACAAUUUUUGAGAUAUUAAAGUUGGUGAUAAUAUAAUUGUUGUUUGUUUCUAUGUAA
Long non-coding RNA from Zea mays, 4122 nucleotides. RefSeq lists it as uncharacterized. The transcript is spliced from 6 exons. The record is from RefSeq and is a predicted model, not a curated record. Lineage: Eukaryota; Viridiplantae; Streptophyta; Magnoliopsida; Poales; Poaceae.